GGUGCCCUCGGCUCCUGGCACCGGCGGCAGCGCUGUCCCCGCCAGAGACCGCGCGGCAGGGACAUCCGUGGCAUGGAAAUGAAGCGGCUGAAGCCAGCCCUCUAUCAAUGGUGCUGGGAGAGGCGCAGCCCACGUGGGGCUCGAGGGACCCACCGGGACCACUGGAAAUGCCUCCUCGAGGUGGGGGGGUUAAAGCAUCCCCAGGUACAUCCAUCCUCCUGAGGACACAGCGCUGGACCACGGCCCCCAACCCUCGCACCGACCGCAGCUCCCCGACUCGAGCCUCAGAGGGACACCCCUGGAGCACAUCCCUGCCCGCAGGUACCUGCAGCACAAACUGGUCGGGCUCACUCAGCUUCCCAGGGUUCUCCUUGUAGCUCUGGAAGCGCUGCACUUCCUCCCCAUCGGGCGCGUACAGCAGGAGCUGCUUGAUGUGGGAGGGCUCCAGCCGGUCCGUCUCCAUCGUCAUGAGGAUCUGGCGCAGCUCCAUGUGCGACAGCUUGAGUUCUCAGGCAUGAGAGUUGGCUCUGGAAGAGAAACUGAGAGAUUUAAUCAUGGGUAAGGACAGGCUCAGCCGGCUCCAGCGGGAAGAAAACUGCCCUGAAAACAGGGAAACCAUGAGUGACACAACGGAUGCUUUGCACACAGCAAUGGCUCCGGGAGUCCUUGAAUUCAGCGAUUCAAAGAUCUCCUCAAUGGAGGACUCAGCUGGAGCUGGAAAAGGCAAAACGAGAGGUGAGACACACAGAAAACCCCAGACUGCCCAGAAACAGCCCCAAAUGGAUGCAUCCCAUUUCAUGCCACUGCCGGUCCCAGCUGUAUCUGCCUGUUCUGGCUUAGCUCUGCCCAUGCUGCCAUCAUGUAUCUCGUCCCUUGCGGCAGAGCUCAGCCAUCCCAUUGGCAUUUUGCUUUUCCCAGUGUAAAUGAGGCAGCCAUGCUGCCCCAUGGAUCCCUUUGGGAAUACUGUGGGCGACAGGAGCUCUCUGCUUGCACCCUGAAUGCCUCAGUCCAUGGGUCUGCAGGAGACCCCUAUUCAAGAGCAAGAGGGGAGACGUGCAGUAGCUGCAGACCCCAUACAUAGGUCUUGUGGGGAGCUAGCAUGUUGUAUAUGCAA
This is a long non-coding RNA of Neopsephotus bourkii (Bourke's parrot), 1114 nucleotides long. RefSeq lists it as uncharacterized. Lineage: Eukaryota; Metazoa; Chordata; Aves; Psittaciformes; Psittacidae. The transcript has 3 exons. The record is from RefSeq and is a predicted model, not a curated record.